RNAcentral lists this long non-coding RNA (1573 nucleotides) under Brassica rapa (field mustard). RNAcentral describes it as "long non-coding RNA (BRAP_LNC005849)". Lineage: Eukaryota; Viridiplantae; Streptophyta; Magnoliopsida; Brassicales; Brassicaceae. The record is from RNAcentral.
UAAUAGUCCAAUAAAAAUAUAAUUACGAGGAAGGUCCAACGUAACCUAGCAACAUUUUAAAAUAAUCAAGAUACAUGCAUACGCAACCUUUAUUUAAAGAGUGCCAAAUAACAGAUUGCAAGAGUACAUGGUCAUAGAGUUUAAAUUAGGUAGGAAAAUGUUGCUAAGAUUGAAGAUUCAAGUUCCUGAAGAACUUGACUAGCAACUGCUUCGCUGCUUUAGGUAGAACAGGGUUGGUUAUGCUUUACACCCAUCGAUGCCAUGCAAAUGCAUGGGAUAUGAUUCAAGAAGGAGCACAAUCAUGACGGCUGCAUAGAAUAAAGUGGAGAUUGAUGAGCUCCUAUGCACCGUGAGACAGUAAAAGGCUUCAACGGUGUGUCGGCUAAUGUAGUUGAUCAUUACCACAAAAACCCAUAACAGUUGCAUACAAUGAUGAAGGGUUAAGCAAGUGGGUUAGCUACUGUUAUAUUAUGUUAACUGGUAAGAGAAGAUAUAACGAUGAUAAAUAGCCAAGCAUUAUUGGGAUAACCGACCAGUCUACCAUAUUAAUAUCAGAAAACUUAGCGUGUAUAAGAGAAAUUUAACAUGUACACAUAUACCCAAACUAGCUUGAUGGUUUAAAAUUUGAGAUACAACCUAACAAUCGAUAACAACCAGCCAAUGUAAAUGAAAAUAAUACCUGGAAGCUGACUAAUCUAAACUAAAUAACUGAUGAACUAAUAAACUGAAAUAUUAACGGUUUCAUUUUAUCUAUACUUUUGCAUCACUGUCCUAAAGGAUAAAGUUAUUUCCGCAAAUGCCAUCACCAGCAGUUGUAAGCACAUGGAAGCAAUCAACAAUACUUCAUGAAUCUAUCGUGAAGAUAAGUAGAUUUUAAAACAUAAGAGAAGAGUUGGUACAUUGUGUAGUUAACGUUCACUUGUCUGAACUUGAAGUAGUAAACCAAAGAGUUUCUUUUCAUGAGUGAGUAUUCUUUGGAAAACUAAACUGGUGUUGACUCUCAUGAAUGUAUGUUGUUACUCCAGAGAAUGUAUGUCACUUGUUCACCGAAGGGUUUUUCACCGGCGGCAAACAUUCUAGACGGAAAAUUGGGUUCCGAGGAAAAUUUAGAUUGAGAUUCGAAUGAGAAAGAGAAAUGUAAUAAAAAUAUAAUUAAAGAUGAAGAGGUGUAAUAGAGGUGUCAGACAGUUGCCUUUUUCAUGGAACCCAUCAGACGGCCGCAUGUUCUCGAGCUACACAAUGGACACCAAUGCUCAUCAUAUUACAUUUUAUUCCUCCCUUUGAAGUCCAAUUUCUGACAGAAAUCAGAAGUCUAUUACGUAGGGGCCGUGAGGCUAGUAGGGGUAAGUUGGGGAAGGAAAAGUAAAGGAUUUGGGUGUAGGCAUGCCGCUAAUAUGAAGUGGACUUAGGGUCAUGUAAGCCAAUAAUCUCAAUUUUAUUUCCAUGAAACUGAAAUAUAGGAGCAAAUAGCUACAAUAUAAACCACUCAGACAAAGACCCGGCCCACUGUUAUUAACACGGAGUUCGCUCACGUUAGACAGAUAAGUGGUCGCAGGGUCGCAGGAAGGGAGGU